ACGAACGCUGGCGGCAUGCCUCACACCUGCAAGUCGCACGAGACCUUCGGGUCUAGUGGCGCACGGGUGCGUAACGCGUGGGAACCUGCCCUUAGGUUCGGAAUAACUCCCCGAAAGGGGUGCUAAUACCGGAUAAUGUCUUCGGACCAAAGAUUUAUCGCCUUUGGAUGGGCCCGCGUUGGAUUAGCUAGUUGGUAGGGUAAAAGCCUACCAAGGCGACGAUCCAUAGCUGGUCUGAGAGGAUGAUCAGCCACACUGGGACUGAGACACGGCCCAGACUCCUACGGGAGGCAGCAGUGGGGAAUAUUGGACAAUGGGCGAAAGCCUGAUCCGGCAAUGCCGCGUGAGUGAUGAAGGCCUUAGGGUUGUAAAGCUCUUUUACCCGGGAUGAUAAUGACAGUACCGGGAGAAUAAGCUCCGGCUAACUCCGUG
RNAcentral lists this ribosomal RNA (432 nucleotides) under uncultured bacterium. RNAcentral's name for it is "partial 16S ribosomal RNA". It matches the Rfam family "Bacterial small subunit ribosomal RNA", at positions 29 to 507 of the family's 1533-position model. The record is from RNAcentral.